Molecule: ribosomal RNA, 445 nt
Filed under: uncultured Anaerolineaceae bacterium
Lineage: Bacteria; Bacillati; Chloroflexota; Anaerolineae; Anaerolineales; Anaerolineaceae
Description: bacterial SSU rRNA
Rfam family: Bacterial small subunit ribosomal RNA
Source: RNAcentral
GCACAAGCAGCGGAGCGUGUGGUUUAAUUCGUUGCUACACGAAGAACCUUACCUGGGUUUGACAUAUAAGUUGUAGGGAACUGAAAAGGGACGACCCUUCGGGGAGCUUAUACAGGUGUUGCAUGGCUGUCGUCAGCUCGUGUCGUGAGAUGUUCGGUUAAGUCCGCUAACGAGCGCAACCCUCGCCGUAUGUUACAAGUGUCAUACGGGACUGCCGGUAAAAAGCCGGAGGAAGGUGAGGAUGAUGUCAAGUCAGCAUGACCUUUAUAUCCAGGGCUACACACACGCUACAAUGGUCUGUACAAUUGGUUGCCAAGCCGCGAGGCGGAGCCAAUCCGUAAAGCAGGCCUCAGUUCAGAUUGCAGUCUGCAACUCGACUGCAUGAAGCCGGAGUUGCUAGUAACCGCAGGUCAGCAAUACUGCGGUGAAUACGUUCCCGGGUCUU